RNAcentral lists this ribosomal RNA (481 nucleotides) under Bacillus sp. (in: firmicutes). RNAcentral describes it as "bacterial SSU rRNA". It matches the Rfam family "Bacterial small subunit ribosomal RNA", at positions 94 to 560 of the family's 1533-position model. The record is from RNAcentral. Lineage: Bacteria; Bacillati; Bacillota; Bacilli; Caryophanales; Bacillaceae.
AGCGGCGGACGGGUGAGUAACACGUGGGUAACCUGCCUGUAAGACUGGGAUAACUCCGGGAAACCGGGGCUAAUACCGGAUGGUUGUUUGAACCGCAUGGUUCAAACAUAAAAGGUGGCUUCGGCUACCACUUACAGAUGGACCCGCGGCGCAUUAGCUAGUUGGUGAGGUAACGGCUCACCAAGGCAACGAUGCGUAGCCGACCUGAGAGGGUGAUCGGCCACACUGGGACUGAGACACGGCCCAGACUCCUACGGGAGGCAGCAGUAGGGAAUCUUCCGCAAUGGACGAAAGUCUGACGGAGCAACGCCGCGUGAGUGAUGAAGGUUUUCGGAUCGUAAAGCUCUGUUGUUAGGGAAGAACAAGUACCGUUCGAAUAGGGCGGUACCUUGACGGUACCUAACCAGAAAGCCACGGCUAACUACGUGCCAGCAGCCGCGGUAAUACGUAGGUGGCAAGCGUUGUCCGGAAUUAUUGGGCG